Molecule: long non-coding RNA, 199 nt
Organism: Thalassophryne amazonica
Lineage: Eukaryota; Metazoa; Chordata; Actinopteri; Batrachoidiformes; Batrachoididae
Exons: 3
Source: RefSeq, a predicted model, not a curated record
CCAAAUCACAAACAAAGUAGCUUGAGGUAUGCUAAAGCACAUUUGGAAAAGCCAGCUUCCUUUUGGAAUAUGGUGCUGUGGACUAAUGAAACUAAAAUUCAGUUAUUUGGACAUAAGGGGCGGUAUGCGUGGCUGAAAAAGAACAGAGCAUUCCAAGAAAAACACUUGCUACCUACAGUAAAAUUUGGAGGUGGUUCCA